Molecule: non-coding RNA, 24 nt
Filed under: Mus musculus (house mouse)
Lineage: Eukaryota; Metazoa; Chordata; Mammalia; Rodentia; Muridae
Source: RNAcentral
UGCUAGUUGCGCUUGCAUUGAUUG